UGUUUGCCCGGAAACCGGGAAAGGGAAUAACAUUUGAAAUGUAUAUAAGAAAUACUCAAGUUAAUAAAAAAAAAGAAAUAAAAAGAAUGAUAAACUCUUGUGCCACCCUACUCCACCCACUUAGGACAGGACUCAUUUCUUUGACCCCAAUAUUUAUGCUGUAUUUACUGCCUCAUUCUUAGUAACUUUGUAUCAGUUUUGUUGCAGCGCUCUUGUUCAAGUGACCACUUUUUUAUUUUAUUUUAUUGUUUUACAAUUUCAUGCAUGUUGUUCUACCUAGAGUUUAUUAUUAAGUUGAGACAGCCUAGAGUAACAUGGAAAAGACACCCUCAGUGGAAGAAUUGCUCUGUCAGAUUGGCCUGAGGUCAUGUAAGUGAGAGGUUGUCUUGACUAAAGGUUGAGCUGGAAGGGUCCAUGUCACUGUGGGAAGCACCAUUCCCUAGGCAGAUAGGCCUGGGCUGUGUAAGAAAGCUGCUGAGCAGGAGGCAGUGGGUGAGCCAGGAAGCAGUGCUCCUCCUCCUUGGUUCCUGCAUGAGCCAGUGAGCGAGCCAGGAAACAGUGCUCUCCUUGUUCCUGGUUCUGAGUUUCUUCUUGAGUCCCUGCCCCUCUCUUAAUGAUGGAUGGUAACUUAUAAGAUAAAAAUAAAUCCAUUCAUCCUUAAGUUGCUUUGUGUCAGAGUGUUUCAUCACAGCAACAGAAAAGAAACUAGAACAGAAUUGGUACCCAAAGAGCAGAGUUGUUCCUGGCGUGGAUUUGACCAUACUGUUUAGGGGGAGGACUGUGGAAGGGUUUAGAACUUGGAGCUAGAAAAGCGUGGAGUUCUCAGAGCUUAAUGGGCUAUCCUGUGAGAUCGUAGAACAUAGGAAUGUAGAGAGGAAUGCUGUCAAUGGAAGUCUGGAUUAUCAAGUCUCUGAGGGAAGCAAAGACGAUCUGUUCAUAUACCUUUGAUUAAGAAUCCGCAACUGUUGUUCAACUGAGGUUUAAGAACCAGCUGUAAUUAACAAGCACCAGUGAGGUGAAACCUGUGCUUUACUGGGACUGUGGAUAUUGGGCAGCUGAAGUUGAAGAAUCUGCUGUAAUUAGCAAGAGACCGGUGCCAAUGAGGUGAAAUCUUCCCUGAAGUAUUUCCUUGGAUCAGCACACACAGGCUGUGGUCAGGGGUGGGGACUGGGGGAAGUCUGCAUCUCACACUGGUAGUCGAACAUAGCUAUGUGUAAGACUCACCAUGUGAUACUGGUUUUGAAAGCAUAAAAUAAAUACAUAAAUAAAUAAAUAAAUAAAUAAAUAAAUAAAUAAUAAAUACAAGACUGAGGGCUCAUAGAGAAUGGAUGAGGCUUGAGAGGCCAUUGGUUAAGGUGCAGCCUCAGUUGCAGUAGAGACCCCAGGCUCUUGGAGAUGCCAGGACCCUGUGACAUUGUAUAGCAUCUGGAAUGGAGUAGAGCCCCGCUGGGCAUACCGGACUGUGCCAUGUGGAUGACAGAGCUGAAGAAAUGGGGAGGCCUGAGCCUUUUAAGUCCCAAAGAUCACAGAUGAGUGGCAGAGUUUGAUGGGCAAGGUUUGACUGACAUUGCUAAAUUUGGGGUUUGGCUUUAAUUUGAGAGUUCCUUCGCUCUGGUUCUUCCCUUUUUAAAUAAGAAAAAUGUAACUUAUCUUUGUCUUUACAAAAGACCAAAGUUGUUAAGAGACAUUGGAUUUUUAAAUCAGACCUUGGACUUUUAAAGUAUUGAAAAAUUUAAAGACUGGGGGACUUUUAAAAGUUUAACUGUUUUAGAUUGUGAUGUUAACAUGAAAUUUCAGGAACCAGAAAUGAAAGAAUAGAGCGUAAAGCAGUUCUCAACCUGUAUUUUCAUGACCCCCUUGGGGGUCAAGGGACCCAUUUGUAGGGGUCACAUAUCAGAUAUCCUGAUGUCAGAUAUUUACAUACAAUUUAUAACAUUAGCAAAACUCCAUUAUGGAGUAGCAAUGAAAAUAAUCUUAUGCUUAGGGGUCACCCCGGCAUGAGGAACCAGAUUAGACUGGCGCAUCAGUAGGGUUGAGAGCCACUGGCUUAAAGUGACUCUUUGUAUGUAAAGAGGAAGGAUGUUGGAAUGUCCUGGUCACCUUUUAUCAUCAAGUGGAUACAAACUAAUGUCACCCAAAGAGAGAACUACAGUUGAAGAAAUUGUCACUAUUAUAUUGGCCCAUGACUAGGUCUAUGAAAGAUUGUCUUGACUAAGGCUUGAUGUGAGAGGACCCAGCCCUCUGUGGGUGGCACCAUCAAUAGGCAAGCAGGUUUGGACUGUGUAAGAAAACCAGCUGCGCAUAAGGCAGUGAUCAAGCCAGGAAUCGGCAUCUCCACCAUGGCUGAGGUUCCUGUUUAAGUUCUUGCCUUGGCUUCACUCCACGACGGCCUAUGACCUGGGAGCUUAAGCCAAAGAAACCCUUUCUCCUCCAAGUUGGUUUGGGUGAGUAUUUUAUCACAGCAACAGAAGAGUAACUAGAAGACACGUAUAUAGUGUAUCUUUAUAAAAAUAAUAUCUUAAUUAGUUUUUGAGAAUUUCAUAGGAUGCAUUUUGAUCCUAGGCGGCCCUUCCCCAGCCCCUCCCAGAGCCUUCCUCACUUCCUUCCUCACCCAUGCUCCUUCUGUUUAUAAAUAUGUUGAGUCUAAUCCGUGCUGCCUAAAUACUCUUGGAUGUGGGGUGUGGGGUGUGUGUCGUGGGCUGUGACAUAUCUACUGGGGUCAUACUGUUAAAGAAAAUGGACUCUCCGCCUCCCAGUACUAUCAAACACCAAUCUCUCUUCAACCAGGGGCGGGGCUUAAUGCUUGUCCCUUUACUCUAUGCAGGGACUUUUUUUUUGUCUUCCGGUUUUGUCUUCUGUGUGCUGUCCCAGCCUCUGAGUUUAUUAUGUGCGACUUCCUUAGUCAUUUGCCACCUUGGACUGUUACAGUCUUUUACCCACUUUAUACAAUGAUCUCUGUGCCUUAGAGGGGAAAUCGACAUGGUCAUCCCAUUUAGGGCUGGUCACUUUAUAGUUUCUCUCCCUCCCUCUCUCCUUCCUCCUCCCCCUCUCCCUCUCACUCUCCCUCUUCCUCCCCCACCCCAUGGUGUGUGUGUGUGUGUGUGUGUGUGUGUGUGUGUGUGUGUGUGUGUUCGUCUAUUUCUCUGGUUUCAUUGAGACAGAGUUUCACUGUGUAGACCUGGAUGACCUAGAACUCCUUCUGUAGACCAGGCUGACCUCAAUCUCAAAGAGAUCCAUGCCUCUGCCUCCUGAGUGCUGGGACUAAAGGCAUGUGCCGCGCCCAACCUCGACCAGCAAGGAAGACACGACCACAGGAGAUCUUCUUUGAGCAGUUUUACUCAGGAACCUUGACACAAUCUUCUGACCUCUAUCUCUUCUGACUCUCUCUCCCCGGGGAACGCCCUGCACCACACUUAAAUAGCUAGCACUGGCCAGUCCUAGGAAGCCACGUGGGUCAUGUAGAUAGGCUGUCACUAUUCGGAAGCUGGCAGGCCAGGCAGACAUAGCCAAAUAAGGACUUGUUUACUGCAAGGAGCGCUCACCGUUGGGAGGGUGGAAGUCGGAAACCAGCGCCAUCUUUGAGGCGCUGCACGUCGCAGCUCUCUACAGGCAUGCACUACGGUGGCCAGCUUUUAUUCUAUUUAUUUUAUUUUAUUUUUAUAAUCUCUUAAUCUCUGUGCUGUGAGUCUUUAUGUUAGCCGCCAUACCCUUCAGGAAGAAACUUCUUUGAUAAGGACUGGGAGAUUCUAUGGGCAUAGUGAUAAGUUACUAGGGUCGUUUUAACACUGUGUUUGUCUGUCAUAGGAAUAGUGAGUGAUACGUUCUCUCCUAUGAUCUAUCUAACCACAAGUUCUUGGUCUCAGUAAUGAGGCCAGGUAUGGGUUUCACCCUGCGGAAGCAUUGCCGGGACAGUUGCUAAUGUAGUUCAGUUGGUUUGCUGGAGAGCAAAACUGACGAUUAAUUUUCUUGUAGUGUAUAUAGCACCUCCCAGAACUGUGAAAGCUAGCUAGUAGAAACAAAGCUUCCAUGUUACUACCAGCUUGUUUUAUGAGCAUGUGGUGAUCUCAGCGAUAGGGUCUUGCCAUCAGGUUCUAGAGGGUAACCGGAAGCAAUGGCGAUAGCCCGUAAUGGUUAGCGGUGUAUGGCACCACAUCGUCCACCAACUCCAAAACAGGCAAUUUAGUCCUGGUACUAGGCUUUUAUUGGCUAGCAUGUGGUUAUAUACCAUAUCCAUCCCUAGUUCCCCUCCCCCACGCCCUUGAUGACAGCGGAUGAUCUUUUUGAUGUGCUCCUGAUACUUGCAAAUAUAGUUUACAAGUAUUUUGUUGAUAAUUUUUGCAUAUAAGCUCAUCCUGAAAAUGAUCUAUAGUUUUUCUUUUCCUUCCCUUCUUUUUCGUGUGUGUGUGUGUGUGUGUGUGUGUGUGUGUGUGUGUGUUUAAUAUGAUGGUAAUACUAACUUCAUAAAAGAGUUUAGUCACAUUCUUUUCUAUUUUUUAAUAGUUUCAGAAACACUGGUUUCUGAAGGGCUGGGAAGUUCACCAUUGAAUCCCUCUGGGCCUGAACUUCUUUAGUGGAAAGAUUCUUAAUAACGACCUCAAUUUUAGUACUUGUUAUACAUCUAUUAAAAUUGUUUAUCUUAUCCUGUUUUAAUUUUUAUUGGUUAUACAAAUCUACGAAUUCACAUUUUUUUUCCACAGUGGACUAUACGUUUUCCAGGUAAGCCAUAAUGAUUUUAUGGGUUUCAUCGGCAUCUGUUGUGCUAACUCUAUUUUUAUCUCUAAUUGUAUUGUAAUCAUCUCUAAUUAAUCUCUAAUUUAAGGACUUUUAAUUUUAGGUGUUUUAAAGGUCUUUCUAUUAGUUAGUUUGGCUGACUCUGAUUCUUCAUAAUUUUGUUUCCAUUCCACUCAUUUCUACUCUAAUCUUGGAUUUGACUUAUUUUCUAGAUCUCUAAAGUUUAUUAUUAAAUCAUAAAUUUAAAAUCACUCUGCUUCCCUAACAUAGACAGUUAGAGUUAUAGAAUCCCCUCCCCUCAUAGGACUUUGGAGAGAAUUCCAAGGGCUGCUGAGAAGAGUGGACUUUGCAGUGGUUGAAUGGAAUGUUUUGUAGAUGUUGGCUAAGUCCAUUUGUUCUAUGGUAUCAUUUAGUUUGCAUAUUGAUUCAUUUUUGUCUGUUGUUGUUUGGGAUUUUCUUUCUUUGUUUUUGUUUUGUUUUGUUUUGUUUUGUUUUUGGAAAGAUCUGUUAUUUGCAGAGAGUGGGGUAUUGAAGCUACCCACUGCUAUGGUGCACGAGUUAAUCUGUGGCUCUGAAUCUAACACUGCUUGCUCUAUGAAACUGGGUACAACUAGUCUAGGCUUUAUAUGUUCAGAAUCACGAUGUCCUUUUAAUGGGUUAUUUCCUCAGUCAGUACGAAGUAAUUCUUAUCAUUGUUUCUCACUAGUUUUGAUUUGAUGCCUAUUUUGUUAGAUAUUAGAACAACAGCAUUUGCUUUGUUCGCUUACAACCAAAGGUAGUAUGUGCCUUUUGUGGUAAGGUGUGUUUCCUGGAGACUGAAAAUCAAUGGGUCCUGAUUUUUGAUCCAAUAUACCAGUUUGUGCCUUUCGAUUUAGAAAUUGAGAUCAUUAGUAUUCAGAGAGAGUUUAAUACUCUAUUCACUUAGCAGAGCAGUACUCAUAGGUUCUCCCCUAGGGCCUAUGGCCUAUCUAACCACAGUGCCUGGGCUCUAAUAAAUGAUUAUGAGAGUAUGAGGUUUAAUUUGUGGAAUGGGCCUAAAUCCAGUAAGAGAUUAAUUGGUUUUUACUAUGAUGUCCAUGGCACUACUGCACAGGUUGGCAUGUCUUGCCAGGCCGGUCAUUGUCAGAGCUUCCAAGGUCCACAGUUAGUUAUGGUGAUUCCCUUUCUCUCUGGUAGCAUACAUUGCACCUUUCAGCCCUAUGAAAAUACUGAGGAGGGAGGAAGCCUCCAGGUCAGCACCAUUUUGAUUUCUUAUGUUCUAUGAUUCCAGUGAAUGAUGUCUUCAGCACCAGGGUCUCUGCAUUAAGUUCUAGAGGGUAGUCAAAAGCAUUAGCAAUGUCCUGUAACGUUUGGAGGUCUAUGGGACUCUAGUAGACAGUAACUCAAAGGUGGUAACCCAUCCUAGUGCUGGGCUUUUCAUUAUCCUGUGGUAUUUAGUAGGGAUAUAAUACUGCUGUUGUGGGGUAACACUAUUCAAACUCUUUAUAUGUGUGUAUGUGUACAUUUUAGAAAGUGUCUACAGUAGUAGGUCUUCCCGUGGACUUUUUCAAAGCAUUUCUCAUGUUAGUUAUCCCUCUUCUAUCUACCUUGCCCUCCUGUCCCCUUCCCAUUAAACCCUUCUUUUAUCAUUAUUCUCUUUAACUCUUUAUACCACUGUGUUCUAUCUCUCCUUUCUUAAAAUCACCCCACCCCCUACAGGGCCCGUUCCUAAUUUCUUGACCUCUAGGGCUAUUCCGAAUGUAACACACAUAUCUGAAAAUUCAAGGUUAAUAUCUGCAAAUGGGAGAAAAAAAAAUGAGAUAUUAGGCCCCAGAGGGGAACUUAUUAGUAUUACUCUGCUAAACAGAUUAAACUGACUCCUGGUGACUUAUUUACUACCUGUAGAUUAGUGCAUUGGGGCAUUGGUCAACUCUCAUAAAAAAAGCUUCUUUUUUGCAAUAAAGGUGAUUAAUACAGAGGCCAAUAACUAAUCAUGUUGCAGAGAAUAAAGAAUAAAAUACUGUAAAAUGUUCAGCCCUAAAUGGGGCAUCCAUUUCAUGCCCUCCUCCUAGAGGCUCAGGGCUCAUGGUGAAAAAGGGUGUGGAAAGGUUGUAAAGGCUAUGGCCAUGAGUGACUCUAAAGAAUCAGUGCUUUCUUUACUUAGCUGGGCAGUCAUACAUGUGAAUUAUACCAGUUGAGUCAGCAUGCUCAAGACCAUUCUAGAAUCAGGCCAAUUAAAAUUCCAUCAUGAGGAGUGGAGAUAAGUAUGAAGUCCCCCUGCCCCCAACACCUAAAGACCUAUUAUCAGUUAGUAACUGCUGCAAGAGAGUCAAUUGUGUUUAAACUUGUAGCCCCUGAUGCGUUGGCCUCCUUCCAGGGAAAGUCACACGUCCAAGACUGUAUGGGUAGCACCAACUGUACGUGAUGGGUUUAAAAAGAAAUUCCACAAAGCUGGCUGUAAGGAAUGGGGAAUGGAACUGUAUAAAAUUCUUGAAGAGAGAAUAAAAAGCAAAAAAUAAAAAAUAAAACUAGAAACAUAUUGAGUGGUUCCUGAAACAUUCAGGAAUCAGAACAAUCUGUGUUAUCAGGUAUCGACCCAGGAUUAUGGAAGGUAUUUUCCAUGUAUGGAGGAAACUAUAGAAAAUUCUAAUUAAUAUGUAUGCACUCCCAUCCCCACAGGCAUACACACAGACUGUUGUUAGAACUGAUAAAGGAGCUCAUGUUCUAGGACACAAGAUGGGUAUAAGCUUGGCAUGUUUGCAAUCCCAGUACUUAGGAGGCAGAGGUAAAAGGUUUGCAGGUUCAAGGUUAGCAUGAACAUAGUGAGACCCUGACUGGAAUGUAACAAUAUCUAAAUAAAGUGAUAAAUGACUAUAAGGUAUUAACAUAAGAUAUAAGAUUAACAAAUGAAAGAAAUUUGAAAAAAAUGAAUGAAGUAUUUGGAGUAAAAAUUAGUUAUUACUUGAUGAUAUAAGGAAGAAUAAAGUAAUUUCACAUUCACAUGAAAGCGAGGAGUUAAAUUGACAAUCUAGGUUGUACAAGGUAAACUGUAAGCCAAAAGUCAACAUAUUUGUUUGGCAAGUUUUCUAAGAUCACUGAGGGGACAGUGUGCUUUUUAACUCUGUGAAGAGUAAUGAGAAAAAGUGUAAGUCGGGUCAACUAGGCUUGUGAUGAUCAGGGCAGAGAAGGGCAAAGAGUGGGUUUAGAAAUCCAGAAAGAGAGCACACAGGAUAGACAGGUGAAGUAGGCAACCACAGUCAAAGAGUGAGAGUGUGAAUUGGAGAUGAUGUUGGUAUCUUGACAGGGUGCGAUACUGAUGCUAGGGGAAUGACACGUACAGACAAGGUCAGGAAUGGGAGUGCCAAGCUGGAAGAAAGGCAGGAUGUUCCAAGCUUGGAGAGUUGGGUGUAAAGGAAUGGAGUUGCAAAAUGAAGAUGGAAAAAUGUGUUUUGUGGGCAGGUCACUUCAUGAAAUGACCGUACAGCCUGGAGUCUAAGUUCAGUGGCUGUGACAGAGGGCCAAAUCACACUUAUUGAAGUUAAUUACUUUUUGUUUAGAUUAUAGACUGAGCUAGCUAGUGCCUCUGCUCUAAGAUGUUAAUGGUAGCUUUGCUUUGUUUUACGUGGAUUCUUUACCCUUACCAACAAAGUUAGAACGAUUCACUACUAGGUUCACAUUUUAGUCGACAUAAGGACACUCCUGCAUUUUAUGAAACAAGCCUAGACGUUGUAUGUGAUGUUAAGGAUACCAUCCUUCUAGCCAAAAAUUCAUCAUUAGACCACACUUUGAGGGAGCCUGUAGUCUAGACAGGAGGGCACCCUCAAGAAACCCAGGAAAAGGGUCUCCAUAAAUAAAUUAUCAUCUUAAUACAAAGCCCUGAGAUUGUGAGGGUAUAGGGCCUUCUGGGAGAAUGGUAGAUGAGAACGCUGUGGUUGGAGGGGAGAAAGAGUCGGGGAGCUGAGUCAGGUGAUUAGGAAUGAGAGGUUAUCAGGGCCCAUGGGCUACAAGUUUCGGACAUUGAAGCCACAGGCACUUUCAAAGGAAUGUUGUCUCCUGAUCUUGAACCCUGAGUACAUUUCUUUUUCUCAUCUUUGAGUAUUCAAUAAGUAGGGUAAAACAGAGCUAUUCUUCAGGGGUCAUUUUCUGAUCCCUGAAUGGACUUAGAAAAAAGGAGCUUUGCCAGCACAGAGUUACAAAACUUAGUAUACAGUGGGGGAAUUUAUACCUUUCUUGCAAUGCAGGCCACUUCUGGUGGGCUGGGAUGCACAGUGCGUUGAUGGUGAAGGUGAUUUAUGGCAGCCGCUCUGAAUCCAUCUAUGUUCUAUGACCUCCCUGUGCAGUGUCUUCUGCCUUGAUAAAAAUCACAAUAUUCCGUGUCGGGUCUUCGUGAGUUUUUUUUUUUUUUGAAUCAAGUAUGAAACCAUUUACAGUGUAUUCAACUCUAGCUUUCUUUGUUCAUUGUUUAUCCCCCCAAGACUGAAUUAAUACAUAUCAAAAUUCAAAGAUUUCAAGAUGUUGCUCUAUACGUAGAACAUUUUUUUUCUGUCCACAUUUCGACCUGGCCUCAGAUGAACCUUCUCUUCCCUUUUGUACGUCAAAGAAUUUGGGUCCCCAAGGUUAAUCACAUGGAUCUUCAGUUAAUCAUGUAUACCCUCCAAACCAUGUGGAAUUAUCUAAUUGGACAUAUAAGGAGAUAAUUUUACAUGGCAGAAAGAAUGGUAAUGAAGCAGUUAUGUAGAAAAAUAGGACAUUUUUUGAAGGGAGAGUUGCUUAGGAAAAAGCCUGAAUCUGUGUGGCUCUGGUAAUACAUGUAUUUAUAUGUAUGUACUCACUAUCCGUUAAUUAUUCCAUUAAAACAUUGUGAAAAAACGCCAAUUUCUAUGGUACUAGGACUGAAAGAUUAUACGGUAGCUCAUGUGUCAAAACUGGAAUAUUUGAGUCAGGGCUAUACACAGAGAAAGGGAGGGUCAUUAUGCAAAGCUUUGUAAACAUACUCUCAUUUUAUUAUUUGGACUGAGAAAGGAAAAGGCUAGUGUGGUGAUUUGAAGGAGAAAUAGACCCUAAAGGCUCAUGUGUCUCAACAGUUGGUCCCUGGCUGGUUCCGGGAGGUUACAGGAAGGUUAGGAGGUAGAUCCUUGUUAGAGGAAGCACCCAGGGGAUGGUCUUGAGAAUUUUUAGCUUUGCCCACUUCCAGUUCACUCUCAUUGUGUUUGCAAAUGUGAUCUUGCCUCUCCCUGCUCCAGCUGCCUGCUGCCAUCCCUCCACAGCCAGUGGGGACUCCUUCUCUGGAACCAUAAGCCAAAAUAAAGUCUUCCCUGUCAGUUUUUACCAUUAUAUUUUAUCAUGGCAACAAAAGUAAGUAAUAUAGGCACAAAAAAAGGUUAGAAGAAGAAGAGAAAAACAGAUGGAGAAAUAACUGUAACUCUGUGUUUUGGGCGUUAGAAUGAAAUCAAGAGCUUUGGAAAUGAACCGGCUGAUUGAUUGAUUGAUUGAUUGAUUGAUUGAUUGAUUUGUGUGUGUGUGUGUGUGUGUGUGUGUGUGUGUGUGUGUGUGUGUGUGUGUGUUUGGGGAUGAUGUCUUCCCAGUGGAGCUCACAUUUCAACUUGGUCCUGAUAGGUAAUCAGGAGUUGCACAUAAAGGCAGCAGGGUAAAAAACAUUGCGAUCCAGCGUGCAGAGAGGUGAGAAAUGUGUCAAGUGCCCAGUGAUUCUGUUCGGCAGACUUUUGAGGCACAUGAAGUAGUGCUGAGAAGGAAGGUUGGAAAGACUAGUGAGGGUUCUGCAUGCUUGACUUUGAUUCUGUAGAAACUACUGGGGAGUUUCUUGAAAGUUUAAGACAUACAUAAUAACAUAAUAAUCAUAAUUGUGCUUUAGAAAGAUGACUGGGGAAAAAAAGAAAAUGGAGGAGCUAAAUUCGGAUGUGUUUGUGUAGAGUAUAUUGUUCGCACACCUACCUCAUUCUAGCAGCUGAGUACAAAGCAUCAUGGGAACCUGUUGACUUCCUUUCUUGUGCAGCUUUAAGUGGUAAAUGGAAAACUGAUUGGAUAUAAAAAUGCACAUAAUCAUCAAAUAGUAAAGAGUCUUUUGGAGAACAGGGAGGUCUUUGCAGUUGAGUGACCACACCAGCAUACACUGAGUGCCAAUGGAACACUUGAGUAAGAAACCUUCAGCUAUAGCAGAGCAAGCCAAGAGCUUAGCUGUGGGAAGAGGACUUAGGCAGGAGGAUUGCAUGUGUGGACAGGUGUAUUAGAAGGGCUCUGCAAAGCAAAGACAACAAAAGAGAGACUUCCAUUUCUGUUUCUAAAAUGGGAAUGGGGCUAAAGAAACGCUGACCACCUUUUGAAGAGCACUGGGAACACGGAGUCGGUUGUUUAAUAUAUUCAUGCUUGACAGGCUAGAACAGGAUCUUCUUUUAUAAAUAAUCUCCAGACCAUGAUUUUAGAGAGAGGUAACUAAGCUAUGUUCUGCUGUCAUUCAAGAUCAGGAACUUUGCAUUUACGCGGUGAAGCCUGAUUAUGCUCUCAGACCAACAAUGGGUUCCUUUUGCUUUGCUUUAUUUUGCUCACUUGGUUUUGGUCUCUCGUGUAGUUUAAGCCAUUCAUUUCCCUUUUAGAUGCUCAGAAUUUGCACUCAAUGGUUACAUUUAAGGGAAAUUUUUCUCAAAAUGUAAAAAGCGCAUUGGCUGGGAUGGUGUGUAUAGAAACCCUUCAAGCAAGUGAGAGACGAGCAGAACUGGGAACACAUCGGCUCAUCAGGAUCUCGCUGAGUGCAUCAUGCGCAGGGGAUAAACCCAAGUCAGAAUUUGCAAUGAGAUCAUUAGUGUGGCCAUCCUGGUCCCGUACUCAGACUGCAAGCAUGUUUAAUGCACCAAGCCCACCUCAAGAUGCCCCUCGGCCCCAAGAGAACAAAGAACCAGGCCAAAACAGGAGGAUGGAAAGAUGCCAAGUGGUCAUAAUGCUGUCAGUGUCACACUCUGUACUGAUCAGAAGAAGAAAAGUAAUAGAGAAAGUUCUGUCCUGCUGGUUCGGCUGCCUGCCACCUAACCCUGUGGAAGACGAACAAGGAGAAAAUAGCCAUAUCAUUAUGGAUUAUAUCAAUAAUACAUUAUAGAGAUACCUUCUGUAUAUGGAAUAGUGCCCUGAUUUAUGUGAAUUAUCAAUAUUUAUGAUUACACACUUGACCAUUGGAUAUCAAAAAGAAAAUUUUAAAGUAAAUAUAAUUUUAAAUUAUUUGCUUAAAAAUUACUUCAUUAAAACAAUUAAAUUAGCAAUAUGAAUAAAAAUGUAUUGGAGAAAAUAAUGUUUAAAGGGUCCCAGUUAGGAGAGAAGUAAUGUUUUUUUUCUAUUCCUCAAUAGAUAAAAAUGACCUUGGAAUAAACAAUCUAUUUUUAUCAUGUAUAAAGAACAGCUCUGAAAAUCAAGCAUUCUAUCUAAAUUCUAAAUAUUCUCAGAGAAUGUCAUGGUUUAGAGCAGUAUAUUUUCAUCCCAAAUCUACAUAACUUUUUAAUUACUAAAAAUACUUUCUAGACUCUUGUACCAUAGCACUCCUUGACUCUAGUCAAGGAAUUAAACAAUUCCUCUGGCAAUUAUUAAACAUUUAAAGGUUAAUACCUUCUGUGUACAACGUGCUGCUGACCACCGUAUUGCAGGAACACAAAGUGGGUGAAGUUGCCCAGUGAGCAGAAAGAACGGCAAAUGGAAGCACACAGAGUGAGACUGUGCCAGGUGACACGAGGGUUGGAGGGAGAGAUGCCUAUGGGUUAGAGACGUCUAGGUCAGGGUUAAGGAAAAGCAACUGUUGGCCUCAGUGUUGGUGGGUAGAGAAAAUGUCAAUGGACAGAAAUGGGGACGGAGUGGGAUGAGAACACGGAUUCUGGUGACAGGAAAGGUUCUCGUCAUGGCUCAUGGGAGUCAUAGAAGACAAUUAGGACUACCAAGUGCUGGUAAGGGUUCUCUGGACUCAGGUGUCUGCCUGAGGAGUCUAAAGCAAAUACAGUCUACAGUGGAACUGCGUCCAAGCCAGCAUGACAUGAUGUGACAUGACAUGGCUCUGUGUAUGCUCUGAUGCUCAGGAUUUUAUAUUCAGCUGCACUCGCCUGCCUGCAAAGUGAGGGUGACUCCCUAUCCCCCAGGGGAGAGAGGGCUUUGUACCACAGGGUGACAUUAGGUAGGAGCACAAUAGUGGCAAGGGCAGGGGAGGGUCAUCAUGUGGGCCCAUCACAUACAAGGGACUGUCCACUUCUGACUAUGGCCUCUGUGCCCCAGUUAUUUAGGUAACAUUUGAGCUGUUGAAUAAUUUUUAGAUGUAAAAGGAAUUAUCAUCUACAAAUCCUUUAAGUGCCUGCCUGAUGAACAGUGGCAUCCUCUUGUGGUGAAUUGUCUAGGAGCAAUCACAUCUAGAAGUCAAAUAAAAGCUAGAAUUCAUAUAGGGAGGACAGGGCUGUGAGGGUAUGACACACUCUGACUGAACAUAGGCUGUGGAAGCUUGUCCUUUGCAAAAGCAUUCCAUGAUAUUGUAUGUCCAGCUAAUUUUUGUUCUGUUUUGUUUUGCUUUGUAUUUUUGGUUUAUUGGAUAGUUCAUGUAUUUACAUUUCAAAUGUUAUCCCCUUUCCUGAUUCCCCCCUCUCCCAUUCUUCCUCCUCUGUUUCUCUGAGGAUGCUCCCCCUCCCACCCACCCACUCCCAACUCCUGGCAUUCCCCUACACUGGGGGAAAGAGCCUUGACAGGACCAAGGGCUUCUCCUCUUAUUGAUGCCAGACAAUGCCAUCCUCUGCUACAUAUGCUGCUGGAGGCAUGGGUUCCCCUAUGUCUACUAUUUGGUUGGUGGUUUAGUCCCUAGGAGAUCUGGAGGAAACACAGGACUUUGUAGCUACCUCUGUUAAGUGCUGACAUCAUUUAGAGUAAAAAGGUGUAUUGAACUUUUAUUUCAGAAGUAUCUGGAACUUUCCCAUUCUCCACAGUUAUCCAGAGAUGUUCCUGUUCUUCGUAAAUUAGAACUUUAAAAAAAUUAGCUGGUUUAGGUAUAAGUGUAAUUGUGGCUUCAAAGAAUGAAUUGGGUAGUGUUUCCUCUGUUUCUAUUUUGUGGAAUAGUUUGAAGAGUAUUGGUAUUAGGUCUUCUUUGAAGGUCUGAUAGAACUCUGCACUAAACCCAUCUAGUCCUGUACUAUUAGUGGUUGGGAGACUUUUAAUGAGUGCUUCUAUUUCUUUAGGGGUUAUGGGACUAUUUAGGUGGUUUAUGUGGUACUGAUUUAGUUUUGGUACUUAGUAUCUGUCUAGAAAUUUGUCCAUUUCAUCCAGGUUUUCCAGUUGUGUUGAGUAUAGGCUUUAGUUGGAUCUGAUAAUUUUUUGAAUUUCCUCAAUUUCUGUUGUUAUGUCUCCCUUUUCAUUCCUGAUUUUAUUAAUUUGGAUACUGUCUCUGUGCUCUCUGGUUAGUAUGGUUAAGGGUUUAUCUAUCUUGUUGAUUUUCUCAAUGAACCAUCUCCUGGUUUUGUUGAUUCUUUGGAUAGUUCUUUUUGUUUCCACUUGGUUGAUUUUAGCCCUGAGUUUGAUUAUUUCCUGCUGUCUACUCCUCUUGGGUGUAUUUGAUGCUUUUUUUUUCAAGAUCAUUCCACACAAAGGAAGAGAACUUCAGACCAAUUUUGCUCAUGAAUAGUAAUCCAAAAAUACUCAAUAAAAUUCUCACAAACUGAAUCAAAAAAUACAUUAAAACAAUCAUGCAUCAUGAUUUAGUAGGCUUCAUCCCAGGGAUGCAGGGAUGGUUCAAUAUAUGGAAAUCUAUCAACAUAAACCAAUAUAUAAACAACUCAAGGAAAAAUAACCACAUGAUCAUCUCAUUAGAUGCUAAGAAAGCAUUUGACAAAAUUCAAAACCCUUCAUGAUAAAAGUUUUGGAAAGAUUAGGAAUUUAAGGCCCAUACAUAAAUGUAGUAAAAGCCAUAUACAGCAAACCAGUAGCCAACAUCAAGCUAAAGGGAGAUAAUCUUGAAGCAAUCCCACUAAGAUCAGGGACUAGACAAGGCUGCCCACUCUCUUCCUACUUAUUCAAUAUAGUACUUGAAGGCCAAGCCAGAGCAAUUAGACAACAAAAAGAGGUCAAAGGGAUACAAAUUGGAAAGGAAGAAGUCAAAAUAUCACUAUUUGCAGAUGAUAUGAUAGUGUACUUAAGUGACCUCCAAAAUUUCACCAGAGAACUCCUACAGCUGAUAAAUAACCUCAGCAAAGUCGCUGAUAUAAAAUUAACUCAAACAAAUCAGUAGACUUUCUCUACUCAAAGGAUAAACAGUCUGAGAAAGAUAUUAGGACACCCUUCACAAUUGUCCCAAAUAAUAUAAAAUACGUCGGUGUGGCUUUAACCAAGCAAGUGAAAGAUCUGUAUUACAAGAACUUCAAGUCUCUGAAGAAAGAAAUCCAAGAUGAUCUCAAAAAAUGGAAAGAUCUCCCAUUGUCAUGGAUAGGCAGGAUUUUUCCUUUUUUUUAUAGGAUAUUUUUUUAUUUACAUUUCAAAUGUUAUUCCCUUUCCUAGUAUCCCAUCCAUAAGCCUCCUGUCCCCCUCUGCCUUCUUCUAUAAGGGCGGUCCCCUUCCCAAACACACUACUUCCUACCUCCCUGCCCUGACAUUCCUCUACAAUGGGGGAUCCAGCCUUGGCAGGACCAAAGGCUUCUCCUCCCAUUGGUGCCCAACAAGGCCAUCCUCUGCUACAUAUGCAGCUGGAGCCAUGGGUCUGUCCAUGUGUACUCUAUGAAUAGUGUGGUUUAGUCCCUGAGAGCUCUGGUUAGAAAGAACAAUUUGCAAAUUCAUCUGGAAUAACAAAAAACCCAGGAUAGCAAAAACUAUCCUUCACGAUAAAAGAACUUUUGGGGGAAUCACCAGUCCUGACCUCAAAUUAUAUUACAGAGCAAUAGUGAUAAAAACUGCAAGGUAUUGCUACAGAGACAGGUAGGAAGAUCAAUGGAAUAGAAUUUAAGACCCAGACAUGAACCCACACUCCUAUGGUCACUUGAUCUUUGACAAAGGAGCUAAAACCAUCCAAUGGAAAAAAGACAGCAUUUUCAAUAAAUGGUGCUGGUUCAACUGGAGGUCAACAUGUAGAAGAAUGCAAAUCGACCCAUUCUUAUUUCCUUGUACAAAGAUCAAGUCCAAGUAGAUGAAGGACCUCCACUUACAAUCAAAAUACUGAAUCUAAUAGAAGAGAAAUUAGAAAAGAACUUCAAACAUAUAGAAAUGGGAAAUUUUCCUGAAUGAGCAGUGGCUCAUUCUCUAAGAUCAACAAUUUACAAAUGAUACCUUAUAAAAUUGCAAAGCUUCUAUAAGGCAAAGGACAAAAUUUUGUCAAUAUAACAAAAUGGCAACCCAUAGAUUAGAAAAAUCUUUUCCAACCCUACAUCUAAUAUAGGACUAAUAUCCAAAAUAUACAAAAACUCAAAAAGUUAGACUCCAGAGAAUCAAAUAAUCCUAUUAAAAAUGGGGUACAGAACUAAACAAAGAAUUCUCAACUGAGGACUAUUGAAUGACUGAGAAGCACCUAAAGAAAUCUGGUGUGUCUGAAGAUAGCUAUAGUGUACUCAUACAUGAAUAAAUGAAUAAAUCUAAAAAUGAAAAAGAAAAAAGAAAUGUUCAACACAGUUAGUCAUCAGGAAUAUGCAAAUCAAAACAACCCUGAGAUUCCACCUCACACCAGUAAGGAUGGCUAAGAUCAAAAACUCAGGUGACAGCAGAUGCUGGUGAGAAUGUGGAGAAAGAGGAACACUCCUCCAUUGUUGUGGGGAAUGCAAGCUGGUACAACCACUCUGGAAAUCAGUCUGGCGGCUCCUUAGAACAUUAGAUAUAGUACUACCUGAGAACCCAGCUAUACCAGUCCUGGGCAUACACCUAAAAGAUGCUCCAACAUAUAACAGUGACACAUGCUCCACUAUUUUCUUCGCAGCCUUAUUUAUAAUAGCCAGAACCUGGAAAAACCCCAGAUGUCCUUUAACAGAGUUAUGGAUACAGAAAACAUACCUUUACACAGUGAAGUACUGCUCAACUAGUAAAAACAAUGACUUUGUGUAAUUCUUAGACAAAUGGAUGGAACCAGAAAAUAUCAUCCUGAGUUAAGUAACCCAAUAGCAAGAGAACACACAUGGUAUGCACUCUUUGAUAAUUGCAUAUUAAACCAAAAGCUCAGAAUACCCAAGAUACAAUCCACAGACCACAUGAAGCUGAAGAAGAAGAAAGACCCAAGUGUGGAUGCUUCAGUCCUUAGAAGGGGGAACAAAAUACUCACAGGAGGAAAUACAGGGACAAAGUUAGGAGCAGAGACUGAAGGAAAGACCAUCCAGAGACUGUCAGAUAUGGGGAUCCAUCCCACAUGCAGUCACUGAAUCAAGUCAUUAUUGGGAACUCCAAGAGGCUAUUGCUGACAGGAGCCUGAUAUAGCUGUCUCUUGAGAGGCUCUGCCAGAGCCUGAUAAAAAUACAGACAGAUGUUUGCAGCCAACCAUUGGACUGAGAAUGAGGUUCCCAGUAGAGGAGGUAGAGAAAGGACUGAGGUGGUUUGCAACCCCAUAGGAAGAACAAUAUUAACCAACCAGACACCCCAGAGCUCCCAGGGACUAAACCACCAAACAAAGAGUACACAUGGAAUGACCCAUGGCUCCAGUCUCAUAUGUAGCAGAGGAUGGCCUUGUCUGACAUCAAUGGGAGGAGUGGUCCUUGGUCCUGUGAAGGCUUGAUGCCCCAGUAUAGGGGAAUUCCAGGGCAGGAAGUGGGAGGGAGUGGGUGGGUGGUUGGAGGAGCACCAUCUUGGAGGCAGGGGUUGGGAGGAUGGGAUAGGGGGUUUCCAGAGGGGAAACCAGGAAGGGGGAUAAUAUUUGAAAUGUAGAUAAAGAAAAUAUCCAAUAAAAAAUGAAAAAAAAGCCCAAUAUAUGUACUAUGCCUCACCUUGAGUUGUUAGUCAUGAACACCCCGAGUACCCACAAACAAUACACGCUAUUGCCCCUGCUCUUGUGCCAACAGAAGUAGGUGGGAGGAGCUUAUUGCUAAAGAGCCUUGUCCAUUGGCCACCGGACAUAGAGAAGUCAAGUAGGUACUGACCAGACAUUCCCUCACUGAUGACUAGCUCCGGUAGACUGGAAGUUGCUCUGCAGUACUUGGGGGACGUCCUCUAUAGUUUUACCUCGUUAUGAAUCUCGUACACAGUGACAAUCAGUGACCAGCAUGGCAAAGUCGGCUUAAGGGCACAAUUGUCGCAUGAAUGUUAUGGGGUCACCAACUGCUUUCUGAUUAGAUUAUAAGUCCAGUCUACAAGAAGAAACUCCAAGAUCUGUGGUAGAGGAGCUCUGAGCCCCAGGGUGAACCUAUUGCAAUUAUUUUGCUAUAUAGACACAACAUUAAAUUUCCCUCUAAAGGUAUAUCUCUCUACACAAAGUUUAAGGGAAGUUCUGUGACCACAUCAAAGAAGUUUCUUCGUCCUGUGGAGAGUAGUGAUUGCAGAAACUUAGAGCUGUUCAAAGUGCACGAGAAUAAAUGGAACUGACUUUCAGUCAGUGAACAUCAGCAAAGAGUUUGCUGGCUACUGGCCUCGAGGUCUCUGCAUGCUGUGCUUCUGUGGACACGAAACCUGGCUUCACGAGAAGGAUGCCGUGGAUCUGCAAAUCUGGCAAGUUAGGUAAAUGGUCUCAUUGUGCAGCCUUGGCUGUUUGGAACCUGCUAUGUAGACUAGGCUGGGCUCAAACUCACAGAAAGUCUGUCUCUGGCUUCAAAGUUCUGGAAUUAAGGAUGUGCGACAUCACUUCCAGGAGAAGAGAGAGGAAGAAGAGAUAAUACUACAACAACAACAACAACAACAACAACAACAACAACAACAACGACAAAAUAGGUUUUACUUGACUGCCAGGCAUACUCCUAAACUGUUUAUAUUCCUCAGUAUCUUGAAGUUGAAGCCCAACCUUUUUCUCUCUUUGGCAUUUGGGGUACAUGCGUGCAUGCACGUGUGUGCUCAAGUACAUGCAUGUGUGUCUGCGUCAUUGAGGAUCUCUGACAUGAAAGAUUCCCUAGUCAAUCUGUUCUGAUUCUUUCCUUAGCCUCUGCAGAAGAGAGAAAACUUAAGCCUCAUUACUCCAAGCUUUCCAGUCUUAGACAAUUCCUACCUGACUUACUAGACGCUGGCUUCUGUGUGGGCCACAAAACACCGAGAUGGUGAUGGCUAUUCCACUCUAUGACUAAUCUUUGCUUGAGCCAUAAUUUUCUGGCCUGUGUCACAGUGAAGCCCCUACCUUAUAGAUACUGCAGAAGGUGCUUUCUGACAGUCCCAUAAAAGACCCUCACAUUAGAGACACAGAAGACCCUAAACCUAUCAAGAUCCCUUUCGGGUAGCAUAUCAGAUAUCCUGAAUAUCAGAUAUUUACUUUGCAAUUAAUAGCAUUAACAAAAUUGUAGUUAUAAAGUAGGAAGAAAAUAAUGUUAUGUUUGGGGGUCACCACCACAUGAGGAACUGUGUUAAAAGGUUGCAGCAUUAGUAGGGUUGAGAACCACUGCCCUAAUCUCUCCAGGAUACCAGAUUCUCAGUAUAAUUCUCUAAAAGGAUAUCUCUCUUUGAUGUCUUUACAGUCUCUGGUUUGAUUUCAUGUAGAGUUUGGUAGUUUUUAUUCACUCUUACAAAGCUACUGGCUAUGUCCACUAGGCAGGCAUCAAACUCACAGAGAUCAGUCUGUCUCUGCCUCUAAUUUGCUGAGAGUAAAGACCAAUGCCAGCAUUCCCAGAAGUAGGAGAUGAAGAGAAGAUGAGGAAAAUACACGUCCAUUUGCUUAGAGACAGUGCAGUUUAGUUACUUUCUACAAAGGCCUUGAAGCAUGGGUUGAAACCAAGAUAUAACUUCACUUAAAAUAGAAAACAAAGGUAAAUGAGAUGACUUAUGGCACUUCCCAUCAGGUCUGACAACCUGAAUUUGACCCCUGGGACUAACAUACUGAAAGGGGGAAAGAGAAAGUCAGUUUCCAAAAGUCGUUUUGUAACUUUCACAUGAGUUUUGUUACACAUGUGUAUAUGAACAAAAACAUUUUUUAAAUAGAAAAGUAUAAAUGUAUGAAACUGUCGAAGAAUUUUUAAAAAUCUCAUUCAGGGGCUGUUGGGUUGGUUAGUCAGAUGUGCAUUGUAUGAGCACAAUGACCUUGGUGCAGAUCCCUAGUAUUCAUGUCAAAAGCUCAGUGUGGCAAUAUGCACCUGGAACUCCAAGCCUGGAGGUAGAAAGUAUAAGAAAUAAUCUAUUAUGGUCCAUUUUCGCUAUGUGAUAUGUUUAGAGAUCAUCAGGGAAACACAGACAAACAGCAGUUAUUAGAACCCUGGCUUCUCUAGCUCCCAGCUGUCACUGGCCUGCCUGAACACUUAUUAAUUUAUCUUAGGGUUAAAACAAGCUAAAAACAACCAGUUGUGUGUGUACUUGAUCCCACAAAUCAGGAAAUGGGGAUAGGGUGAGGAUGGGGCAAGGAUCUCAAGCCCCAGAAAGAUGGGAAAUGUGGGGCAGGAAGAUGGCACCUUCCUGAAGGACUCAGCCAUCAUGGAAGAAGGAGUGGUUCCGAGAUGUAAAAACCACUGUUCUGAGCCACAUGUUAUGCCAGGUAUUUCUGCUUUUCCUUCAACCCGGACUUUGCAAGAUCAUAAAAUAUACUGCUUUACUUUCGCACUUGGAAUCUCCAGGACUCUUAGUAGGAAGUAAAGACUGUUAUUUCUUACGGGGGGAUCAGAGAAAGACAGUUCCUAAAGCCCAUUGACCACCUACACUAGCUGAGUGGAUGAGCUUCAGAUGCAGGGAGAGACCAUGACUUAAAAAGAAAGGAAGGAAGGAAGGAAGGGAGGGAGGAAGGAAGGAAGGAAGGGAGGGAGGAAGGAAGGAAGGAAGGAAGAAGGAAGAAGGGUUUUGUUUUUAAGAAGGCAGCAUGAACUGUCUAGGAAAGACAUUAGAGAUUAGCCUCUGGCCUUCCACAUACAUGUGCUUACCACACAUAUGUUGCAUACACCCAAAUGAACAAGUACAUGUAACAGAACCCAUGCAUACAAAAUUUUAAAAUACUAUAAAAUUCCAUUUCAGUUAGGUAAAUUGAAAGAUUAGUAGUUUUGUCACAUGAAACCAUCUGCAGAUGCCGUGCCUCCUGUGACAAUGCCUCAUGGAAAUUUAGAAGAUUGCAUUGGCAUUCCUAGAGCAAAAUAUUACUUCUUAUAGUUUUUUUAAACAGUGACUGGGUAUAUAUUCAGUAAAGUUCAGGUAAAGUGAUUGCCUAGCAUGCACAUGGCCCUGGUAUAAUGUCAGAACAACAUUAAAACAAGCAUGGUGGUAUACAUCUAUAAUCCCAACACUCAGAAGUUCAAGGUCACUUUAGCUAUAUAGCAAGUAUAAAGCCAGGCUUUAGAUCCAAAGAAUCCUUCUCAUCAAAGUGGGGUAAGGGAGGAUUCUUUAAAAAAAAAUCACUGUGCCAGCAUUUCAGCUGGGGAAUAGUCUUUCAGCAAAGGUUAAACAAGUAGAAAUCCACUUGCAAACAUGACCUUACCUCAUACCAUCUAAAAUAUAAGGAUACAAAGAUCUGUUCUUGUGAUCCUGAAGCUAAGACUAUAAACAUAUUAGAGAAACAAAGAACAGAUCUUUGAAUCUUUAUAUUAGAAAGGUUUGUUUUAGAUUUGUAACAUAAACCACAAGCAACCAAACUGAGUAGAUAGACGGAAGUCUUUUACAGAUUGACUAGGAAAUUUCCCCUACCAGCUCAUGUAUUGAGGUCUUGGUACCCUACUGAUGGAAAAGCAAUUGCAUCCUCUUGCUAUAACUCAAUCAAGGGGUCCAUCUCUUGGUGGAUUCAUAAUAUGAUGGCAGCUGAAGGUAGGAAGUUGGGUCUCAUUGCAGGAAGUAAGUCAUUGCUGGGACCGGAAUCACAGAUAGUUGUGAACAGUCAAGUGGCUGCUGGAAAACAAGCCUAAGUCCCUUGGAAAAGCAUCCAGUACUCUUAACCACAAAAUCUCUUCAACUCCCAAGACAUAUUUUAUAUUCAGACCACAAUAUCAAAUAAGCGGGGUAGACUGGAGAAGACUGCAGAGAAGCUGCCGAGAAAACAUGGAGGCUGAUGUUAAGAUUCCAUGCUGUACCUUUACAUAUUGUUAUGAAUGUUCUUAAGGGAUGGAGUAUACUGGGCUUUGUAUGUUUGGGUGGGCAAUUAUAUCUUAUCAAUGGAAAAAAUAUCAAAUAAGUGUUGUCUUAGGAUGUAGAACAACAUACAGCAUGUAAAAACUUAAAAUGAUACAACCACUUUAUAAGACAAUUUGAUACUUGUUCACAAAAUUAAAUAUAUGGAAAUCAUAUGACCUAGAAAUUCCAUUUGUAUAUAUCAAUUAAAAAAGUCUAAAGAGAUAUUGUACUUGGAUAUUCACAUCAGUAUCUUUAUAAGAGCUCUAAAUGGAAACCACCCAACUUUCUAUCAAGUAAUGGAUUGAUAAACAAAAUGUUAUUUGAUCAAGAAAGGGAAAUAAACUGAUUCAUAUAAAUGCACAGAAGGACAUUGAAAACCCUGUUAUUAAAGUAGAUACCCCCAGAGCUAAGGAUGUCCCACAGUCUUUCAGAACCAAAACCUGCCCCAAAAGAGCAGGUCUCCCAGAAACACUCUUACUGCUAAGAUCACCGGCUCACAGGCUCACUGGCCAACAGGAGGCACAAGUUCCAGUCAGAGACAGCAAGGCCAACUAACAUCAGAGAUAAUCAGAUGAUGAGAGGCAAGCACAAGAACCUAAGCAAAAGAAACCAAGAAUCCUUGGCAUCAUCAGAACACAAUUCUCCCACCACAGCAAAUACUGAAUAUCCCAAUUCACCUGAAAAGCAAGAUUUGGAUUUAAAAUCACAUCUCGUGGUGAUGAUAGAGGAUUUUAAGAAGGACAUAAAUAACUCCAUUAAAGAAAUACAAGACAACACAGAUAAACAAGUAGAAUCCCAAAAAGAAGAAACAGAAAAAUUCCUUAAAGAUUUGCAAGAAAAUACAAACAGGUGAAGAAAUUGAACAAAACCAUCCAGCAUCAAAAAAUGGAAAUAGAAAGAAUAAAGAUAUCACAAAGGGAGAGAACACUGGAGAUAGAAAACCUAGGAAACAGAUCAGGAGCAAUAGACACAAACACAACCAACAGAAUACCAGAGAUUGAAGAGAGAAUCUCAGGGACAGAAGAUACCAUAGAAAACAUCAAUACAAUAGUCAAAAAAUACAAAAAACAAACAGCUCCUAACCCAAAACAUCCAGGAAAUCUAAGACACAAUGAGAAGACAAAACCUAAGGAUAAUAGGUAUAGAAGAGAAUGAAGAUCCCCAACUUAAAGGGCCAGUAAAUAUCUUCAACAAAAUUAUAGAAGAAAACUUCCCUAACUUUAAGAAAGUGAUGCCCAUGAACAUACAAGAAGCCUACAGAACUCCGAACAGAUUAGACCAGAAAAGAAAUUCCUUCUGUCACAUAAUAGUCAAAUCACCAAAUACAUAAAACAAAGAAAGAAUAUUAAAAGAGAUAAGAAAAAAGUCAAAUAACAUAUAAAGGCAGAUCUAUCAGAAUUAGUUUCUCAACAGAAACUACAAAAGCUAGAAGAUUCUGGGCAGAUGUCAUACAGACCCUAAGAAAACACAAAUGCCAGCACAGGCUACUAUAUCCAGCAAAACUCUCAAUUAUUAUAAAUGUAGAAACCAAGAUAUUCUAUGAUAAAAUCAAAUUUACAUACUAUCUUUCUGCAAAUCCAGCCCUACAAAGGAUAAUAGACGGAAAACUCCAACACAAAGGGGGAAAAUACACCCUACAAAAAGCAAGAAAGUUAUCUUCUUGCAACAAACCCAAAAGAAGAGAAACACACAAACAAUUCUACCUCUAACAACAAAAAUAACAGGAAACAACAAUCACUCUUCCUUAAUAUCUCUUAACAUCAGUGGACUCAAUUCCCCAAUAAAAAGACAUAGACUAACAGACUGGAUACGUAAAGAGGACCCAGCAUUUGGCUGCAUAUAGGAAACACACCUCAGUGACAAACACAAACACUUCCUAAGAGUUAAAAGGCUGUAAAAAAAAUGUAUCAAGCAAAUGGUCUCAAGAAACAAGUGAGAUAACCAUUCUAAUAUUGAAUAAAAUCUAUGUUCAAACAAAAGUUAUCAAAAAAGAAAGGAAGAACACCUCAUACUUAUGAAAAGAAAAAAAAUCUACCAAGAUGAACUCUCAUUUCUAUACAUCUAUGCUCCAAAUGCAAUGGCACCCACAUUAAUAAAAGAAACUUUACUAAAGCUCAAAGCAUACAUUGUAUGUCACACAAUAAUAAUGGGAGACAUCAACACCCCACUCUUGUCAAUGGACAGAUCAUGGAAACAGAAACUAAACAGAGACACAGUGAAACUAACAGAAGUUAUGAACCAAAUGGAUUUAACAGAUAUCUAUAGAACAUUUCAUCUUAAAACAUUUCAUCACCUCCUGGUACCUUCUCCAAAAUUGACCAAAUAAUCAGUCACAAAACAGGCCUCAACAGAUACAAGAAGAUUGAAAUAAUCCCAUGCAUUCUAUCAGAUCACCACACACUAAGGCUGGUCUUCAAUAGCAACAACAAUGACAGAAAGUCCACAUAUACAUGGAAGUUGAACAGUGCUCUACUCAAUGAUAAUUUGGUCAAGGAAGAAAUAAAGAAAUUAAAGAGGAAUGGAUACAGAAAAUGUGGUACAUUUACACAAUGGAGUACUACUCAGCUAUUAAAAACAAUGACUUCAUGAAAUUCUUAGGCAAAUGGAUGGAACUAGAAAAUAUUAUCCUGAGUGAGAUAACCAAGUCAUAAAAGAACACACAUGGUAUGCACUCACUGAUAAGUGGAUAUUAGCCCAAAAGCUUGGAAUACUUAAGAAAAAAUUCACAGAUCAUAUGAAGCUCAAGAAGAAGGAAGACCUAAAUGUGGAUGCUUCAUUCCUUCUUAGAAUGGAGAACAAAAUACUCAUCAGAGCAAAUACAGGGACAAAGAGUGGAUCAGGGACUGAAGAAAAGGUCAUCCAGAGCUGCCCCACCUGGGGAUCCAUCCCAUAUGCAGCCACCAAUCCCAGUCACUAUUGCUGACGCCAAGAAGUGCUUGCUGAUAGAAACCUGAUAUGGAUGUCUCCUGAGAGGCUCUGCCAGAGACUUAUUGAUACAGAUGAGGAUGCCUGCAGCCAACCAUUGGACUGAACAUGGGGACCCCCAGUGGAGGAGUUAGAGAAAGGACUGAAGGAAAUGAAGGGGUUUGCAACCCCAUAGGAAGAACAACAAUAUGAUCCUAUCAGACUCCACCAGAGAUCCCAGGGACUAAACCACCAACCAAUGAGUACACAUAGAGGGACCCAUGAUUGUGACUUUGAGGUCAUCCUGGGCUAUAUUGUGAGAUCUCACUCCAAAAAAAAAUUGAAAUAAAACAUAGAAUCAUUCAAUGUUAGAAUAAGCAAAUUGGUAGAGGUAGAAAGCAGGUAAUUGACUUCCUAGGACCAUCGUGUCUUUUCAUUGUUCAUGGAUAGUGUAUAAAGAUGCCAUUGAUUUUUAUAUAUUGAUCUUAUAUGCUACAACUCUGCUGAAUUUGUUUAUCAGUCUUUUAGCGCAUAGCUUACAAUUUUCCCCAUAUAAGAUCAUUUCGUCUAUAAGUACUGACAGCUUUCCUUUCAGCCUGAAUGCCUUUGACUUCUCUGGCUUGUCUGUCUUGAAGCACCGGUUCUGGGAUAGAGAGAAGAGCAGACAUCUUCACCUUUAUCUCUAUCCUUGGAGAGAUGUUGUCUUUCACCAGAAACUCUGACAUUUUCUGAGUGGUCUUUGCACCUGUCCUUCGUCAAAUUAAGGGAGUGUUCUUGUAUUUCCAAUUUCGUGUUUUGUUUGUGUGGUUUUUGUUUCCAGCUUUUGUUUGUUUGCUUUGGCUUUUGAGACAGGAUCUCACUUUGUAGCCCAUGUUGUCCUCAAAUUCCUAACCUUCCUUCAAUAAAAAGCCCCCUGGGUGCUGGGAUUACAGUGCUAGCGAGGUAGGCAAACAGAACGUCCUGGCAACCUUCAAAUCUGCUUCAUCUGGGCCAACAUACACCCUGCUAACAUGACCUAGCAAGAUGUGAUUGUCACUGCAUUACUGUGUACAGUCACACUUUUCUCCAACAAGACAUCCAUCUAGUGAUCUCUAACCGCUAUGCUGUGACUAUUAGCAAACAAGUCCUCUAUUGCUUAAUCCCAUAAAAGAAGCAAUAAUUGGGGCCAUUGAGUACCUUCUAGUGUAGCAGGCUGCAGCUGGAUUUUCGGAUUGUUCAUUUGGUUUGUUUUGUUUUUGAGGCACUCACUAGUCCAGAAUGGCCUGGCACUUGCUAUGUAAACCAUGCGGGUCUUAACCUCACAGAGAUCCACCUGCCACCUGAGUGCCAGGAGUGAAGGCAUGGGCCACGCCCACAAGCCCCUGUGUGUUCCUCCCCCACCCCCCGGAUCUAUUUUGCCAUCUUCUCCUUUGCCUUUGAACAGUGUCGCGGGUACUUUGCACUGCUUGUGUGCCUCCUUCAUUUCAGUUUCUUGAGGAAGAGGCCGAGAACCCGAAAACACCUGUUCCAGACACUGACCCUCAGUCGUACCCCAGGAUUUUUCUAUGGAGUUGGGUAUGUGGUUAGCUUUUUGUUUACUAAUGUGAUGCGUUAAGCCCACCUUUGCACUGGAGUGAGUUACUACGGGCCAUGGGGUAUACGUUGCCCUCUUGCGCGCUCCUGGAUGACUUCCAAUGCAUUACAUCUAUACGGGCUCUUAUCUUCUAGACACCGUCUUUUGCUGCCUCUGCGAAGACACACCCACUGUAUCUUUAGCUGUUUAACAUUUCCCGGCUUCUAGGUAAACAACUGGUAUUUUCACAAGUCUUUUCCCCUUGCUCAGAAAGGUCAUUUCUCCCCUAAGAUCAUACCACUAUCCACCUACAUUCUUUAUACUGUCGUUUUAUUUCAUUUCUUUUUACUUGGAUUUAGGAAAUUAAUUAGAAUCCAGGUAUGGUCGUGGAAGUUUGUGAUCCCUGCCACUGAGACACUAAGGCCAGGAGAUUCCCAAAAGUCUCAGGCUUGAUCUACGGAACAAGACUGUGUCUCAGAGCAACGACAACAAAAAAAAGUUCAUUUUAUCUGCUUAUAAGUUAAAGACUAAAUUUUUUUCCUUUAAAUUAGGGGCACAUUUACCGGAUUAAAAUUCAUUUAAUAAAAUAGGUUUGGUCAAAACCUAUAUUCAGCCUUCAAAAA
Rattus norvegicus (Norway rat) is the source of this 26931-nucleotide non-coding RNA. The record is from RefSeq and is a predicted model, not a curated record. NCBI's taxonomy places the organism in Eukaryota, Metazoa, Chordata, Mammalia, Rodentia, Muridae.